UGGGGAAUAUUGCACAAUGGGCGCAAGCCUGAUGCAGCCAUGCCGCGUGUAUGAAGAAGGCCUUCGGGUUGUAAAGUACUUUCAGUCGGGAGGAAGGUGGUAAGGUUAAUAACCUUAUCAAUUGACGUUACCGACAGAAGAAGCACCGGCUAACUCCGUGCCAGCAGCCGCGGUAAUACGGAGGGUGCAAGCGUUAAUCGGAAUUACUGGGCGUAAAGCGCACGCAGGCGGUUGAUUGAGUCAGAUGUGAAAUCCCCGGGCUUAACCCGGGAAUUGCAUCUGAUAUUGGUCAGCUAGAGUCUUGUAGAGGGGGGUAGAAUUCCAUGUGUAGCGGUGAAAUGCGUAGAGAUGUGGAGGAAUACCGGUGGCGAAGGCGGCCCCCUGGACAAAGACGGACGCUCAGGUGCGAAAGCGUGGGGAGCAAACAGG
This 429-nucleotide ribosomal RNA is filed under the name Chloroflexota bacterium. RNAcentral's name for it is "Chloroflexi bacterium partial 16S ribosomal RNA". It matches the Rfam family "Bacterial small subunit ribosomal RNA", at positions 355 to 776 of the family's 1533-position model. Lineage: Bacteria; Bacillati; Chloroflexota. The record is from RNAcentral.